GCAUAGACCCCUCCAGGCCCAGAGCAGCUGCUAAGGGCUUAUAAAAGGGGCCUUUGCCAUGGGAGCUGAGCUGCAGCAGGCGGGCAGGCGCAGCAAGAUGGUAUCACAAACGCAGGUCCUCACGUUCUUGUUGCUCUGGGUCACAGGUGCCUGCGGGGACAUCGUGAUGACCCAGUCUCCAGCUUUCUUGGCUGUGUCUCCAGGACAGAGGGUCACCAUAAACUGCAGGGCCAGUCAGAGUGUUAGCAGCUACAUAGCCUGGUACCAGCAGAAGCCUGGGCAGGCUCCAAAACUGCUCAUCUACUCGGCUUCCACACGUGCAUCUGGGGUCCCCGACCGCUUCAGUGGCAGUGGGUCUGGGACAGAUUUCACUUUCACCAUCAGCAGCGCCCAGGCUGAGGAUUUGGCAAUUUAUUACUGCCAGCAUUAUAACUAUCCUCCCACAGUGCUUCAGCCUCGAACACAAACCCCAGGGUCACGGGCCAGUGCAUCCCUGCUGGGCCAGCUGCUUCCUCCCCACAGCUUUGAACACACACAUCCGUCUAUGAGCCUGAGAGGUCCCACCUCCUGAUUGAUUCCUGGCAGU
This is a non-coding RNA of Manis javanica (Malayan pangolin), 586 nucleotides long. The record is from the annotation of a RefSeq genome assembly. Lineage: Eukaryota; Metazoa; Chordata; Mammalia; Pholidota; Manidae.